GCUAAUUAGCUCAAUCCCUUUUGAGUACACCAGUAGACAAGUAACGAUUGAACUGAAGGAAUGGGACUCUUUGGGAAUAAUGGAGAAGAAAAGCUAGAACUUCACUCAGUCAAGUAGUGACCAGAGCAAUGAGAGACAAAGUUCUUAACACAGAAUGGAUAGCCCUUGCACUUUUUACUAUGAAGAAAGAGGGAGAUAGGACGGAGAUUUUUGAUUUAUUUGCUUGACAGUGAAGAAGCUUGACAC
Molecule: long non-coding RNA, 246 nt
Organism: Chiroxiphia lanceolata (lance-tailed manakin)
Lineage: Eukaryota; Metazoa; Chordata; Aves; Passeriformes; Pipridae
Exons: 2
Source: RefSeq, a predicted model, not a curated record